RNAcentral lists this small nuclear RNA (18 nucleotides) under Arabidopsis thaliana (thale cress). Its description in RNAcentral is "snRNA_01954". The record is from RNAcentral. Lineage: Eukaryota; Viridiplantae; Streptophyta; Magnoliopsida; Brassicales; Brassicaceae.
GCCUCGAUGAGUAGGAGG